Molecule: ribosomal RNA, 506 nt
Filed under: uncultured bacterium
Lineage: Bacteria
Description: partial 16S ribosomal RNA
Rfam family: Bacterial small subunit ribosomal RNA
Source: RNAcentral
AGUGAACGCUGGCGGCAGGCCUAACACAUGCAAGUCGAGCGGCAGCGGGAAGUAGCUUGCUACUUUGCCGGCGAGCGGCGGACGGGUGAGUAAUGUCUGGGAAACUGCCUGAUGGAGGGGGAUAACUACUGGAAACGGUAGCUAAUACCGCAUAACGUCGCAAGACCAAAGAGGGGGACCUUCGGGCCUCUUGCCAUCAGAUGUGCCCAGAUGGGAUUAGCUAGUAGGUGGGGUAACGGCUCACCUAGGCAACGAUCCCUAGCUGGUCUGAGAGGAUGACCAGCCACACUGGAACUGAGACACGGUCCAGACUCCUACGGGAGGCAGCAGUGGGGAAUAUUGCACAAUGGGCGCAAGCCUGAUGCAGCCAUGCCGCGUGUAUGAAGGAGGCCUUCGGGUUGUAAAGUACUUUCAGCGGGGAGGAAGGUGUUGAGGUUAAUAACCUCAGCAAUUGACGUUACCCGCAGAAGAAGCACCGGCUAACUCCGUGCCAGCCGCCGCAGUAA